Molecule: long non-coding RNA, 1585 nt
Organism: Brassica napus (rape)
Lineage: Eukaryota; Viridiplantae; Streptophyta; Magnoliopsida; Brassicales; Brassicaceae
Exons: 5
Source: RefSeq, a predicted model, not a curated record
UGUUAAUAUUUCGUAUUAACGCAUUCAGCCCAACUCUAUUUUCUCCAUCGUCGUUGUCGAAUGACGAUUGAUAUUUAUGGCUUACUCGGCAAACUCUUGCCCUUCCUCUUCCAAACCAGACAAUUACAGGCUUUAAAACUAAUGCUUCUUCGUCUCUUUCCAUAUUCUUCCGUUUAGUUUGCCCUCUCUCUCCAUAAAUUUCGUGUUUCCAAUUAUCGAACUCCUAAAAACGCGAUGACGACGACUUUUACAAGGCCAGAGCAAUUAUCUCGCAAGCGAGUCAGCUUCAUCUAUCAAUCUACUUCGUCAGCGUAGGGGAUGAUGAAGAAAAUUUCUUCUGAAGAGCAUGAUUGUUGCAAUGCAUGUGAAGAUGUUUGUAAAGCAUAUAUAAAGACAGUUUGAGGAGUAAUGAAUCCAUAUUUCAUUGACCAGGUGAAUUGCUGAUAAAAAGGUUUCAUUGUUGUUGUAGUAUCACUGAUUGCUUCAUUUUUUUUUUUUAUAUAUAUUAUGACACUUGCCUGUUUGAGGUUUUUUUGCAACGAGUAGAGGAUGAAGUAGGUGAAGGGUGUAAAAUAUAUGUGUUCUUGGAGGUGAAAAAAGUUGCGUAAAAGUUCCACUGGUGUAGUUAACCCUCUUGAGAGACAGAGUCCAGUGGAGUGUGAGAAGACUCCCUUGGCGAAGAAGUCGUUAAAGAUUCCUUUGGUGUUGGCUUAUGGACACCAUUCUUACAAGGAAGGUCCAGUUCCAAGAAGUUGAGCUGGAAAGAGCAACCAGGCAGCUCAAAGAGGCGUUUCCAAUCGCUAGCCAACAAACGACAAGAUGCGCGGCAGCCCAACGAGUGAUCCAAUCACUCACCACUCAAGUAAUUUCAUAGCUAAAUAAAUAGUAAUAUGGUUUAUGUGAUUACAAGUUUUUCUUAUGUUAUAAACAUCAACAAAAUUAUGGAGCUGGAAGACAUGGCUGAAAGAUUACCAUUUGGAUCAUCUCGAAAUAUAAAGUCUCCUCCGCCUCUUACUAUUUUCUUCCUGCCCUGGUCGUGUUGACCCUUUUAAUAUCUUACACCGACCAAAUGUUCAAGCACCCGAGCAAAAUUGUGCAAAUUCCUGAUGUUUUCUAAUGGGACCAUUACACAUGUAUUUGGAAAUGGUAAAGCAUCGGUUAAAGCACAGAACGACAAGGGAUGGUUGAACAGGAUGAGCUUGGUGUCUACAUCAGUCAAACGUGUCCGUUUCAGCCGCAAAAAUUUAAGAGCGAAACGGGAGGAACAUGGUGGCCAGACAACACAGGAAGAGUACACGACCAAUACAAUUUAUGAAUUGUUGACAAAGCCAAUGUGGAAAUGCCUCUCUGAAACUCUUUUAACACCAACCACUUCUCUUAUUCUUCCACGCAGGUUCAGGUGAGUGCAGAAUCUUGGGGUAUAAGAAAUAUGUAUAGAGGAAAUUAGAUGUUAUAAAAUAUUAUACGUGCUUCUUUCAUUGCAGUUUGGGGGCUGAGAAUGGUGUUUGUUGUGAAAAAAGGUUGUAAAUUCUUUGUGAUGUUCACACUGUAAAUUCUAUAAGCCAAUUCUUUUUAUCUCUGGAAA